RNAcentral lists this unclassified non-coding RNA (213 nucleotides) under soil metagenome. RNAcentral's name for it is "partial internal transcribed spacer 1". The record is from RNAcentral.
CAAUAAGAGUGUUUAUGGCACUCUUUCAAAAAAUCCAUACCCACCUUGUGUGCAAUGUAAAAAAAAGGAGUUUUUCUGGUGGUUUGGGAGUGAGAGUUGUUUUACAACGCUCAUUUUUUUUCCUCAAGAGACACUUUUUUUCAUUUCAUUAUACACCUUUCUAUAAGUUUCCUAUGUGCUGGAAGUACUUGGAAUAAAUAUAAUUCUAAAAUA